CGGCGUGCUUAACACAUGCAAGUCGAGCGAUGAAGUUUCCUUCGGGAAACGGAUUAGCGGCGGACGGGUGAGUAACACGUGGGUAACCUGCCUCAUAGAGUGGAAUAGCCUUCCGAAAGGAAGAUUAAUACCGCAUAAUGUUGAAAGAUGGCAUCAUCAUUCAACCAAAGGAGCAAUCCGCUAUGAGAUGGACCCGCGGCGCAUUAGCUAGUUGGUGGGGUAACGGCCUACCAAGGCGACGAUGCGUAGCCGACCUGAGAGGGUGAUCGGCCACAUUGGGACUGAGACACGGCCCAGACUCCUACGGGAGGCAGCAGUGGGGAAUAUUGCACAAUGGGGGAAACCCUGAUGCAGCAACGCCGCGUGAGUGAUGAAGGUUUUCGGAUCGUAAAGCUCUGUCUUUGGGGAAGAUAAUGACGGUACCCAAGGAGGAAGCCACGGCUAACUACGUGCCAGCAGCCGCGGUAAUACGUAGGUGGCGAGCGUUAUCCGGAUUUACUGGGCGUAAAGGGAGCGUAGGCGGAUGAUUAAGUGGGAUGUGAAAUACCCGGGCUCAACUUGGGUGCUGCAUUCCAAACUGGUUAUCUAGAGUGCAGGAGAGGAGAGUGGAAUUCCUAGUGUAGCGGUGAAAUGCGUAGAGAUUAGGAAGAACACCAGUGGCGAAGGCGACUCUCUGGACUGUAACUGACGCUGAGGCUCGAAAGCGUGGGGAGCAAACAGGAUUAGAUACCCCGGUAGUCCACGCCGUAAACGAUGAAUACUAGGUGUGGGGGUUUCAACACCUCCGUGCCGCCGCUAACGCAUUAAGUAUUCCGCCUGGGGAGUACGGUCGCAAGAUUAAAACUCAAAGGAAUUGACGGGGACCCGCACAAGUGGCGGAGCAUGUGGUUUAAUUCGAAGCAACGCGAAGAACCGUACCUACACUUGGCAUCCCUUGCAUUACUCUUAAUCGAGGAAAUCCCUUCGGGGACAAGGUGACAGGUGGUGCAUGGUUGUCGUCAGCUCGUGUCGUGAGAUGUUGGGUUAAGUCCCGCAACGAGCGCAACCCUUGUCGUUAGUUACUACCAUUAAGUUGAGGACUCUAGCGAGACUGCCUGGGUUAACCAGGAGGAAGGUGGGGAUGACGUCAAAUCAUCAUGCCCCUUAUGUGUAGGGCUACACACGUGCUACAAUGGCUGGUACAGAGAGAUGCAAUACCGCGAGGUGGAGCCAAACUUAAAAACCAGUCUCAGUUCGGAUUGUAGGCUGAAACUCGCCUACAUGAAGCUGGAGUUACUAGUAAUCGCGAACCAGAAUGUCGCGGUGAAUACGUUCCCGGGUCUUGUACACACCGCCCGUCACACCAUGAGAGUUGGCAAUACCCGAAGUCCGUGAGCUAACCGCAAGGAGGCAGCGGCCGAAGGUAGGGUCAGCGAUUGGGGUGAAGUC
This 1428-nucleotide ribosomal RNA is filed under the name uncultured organism. RNAcentral describes it as "16S ribosomal RNA". It matches the Rfam family "Bacterial small subunit ribosomal RNA". The record is from RNAcentral.